Molecule: ribosomal RNA, 253 nt
Filed under: uncultured bacterium
Lineage: Bacteria
Description: partial 16S ribosomal RNA
Rfam family: Bacterial small subunit ribosomal RNA
Source: RNAcentral
UACGUAUGGUGCGAGCGUUGUCCGGAUUUACUGGGCGUGAAGGGGGCGCAGGCGGCGCGCCAAGCCCGAUGUGAAAGCCCGGGGCUCAACCCCGGGACUGCAUUGGGAACUGGCGUGCUGGAGUGCCGGAGGGGCAGGCGGAAUUCCUGGUGUAGCGGUGAAAUGCGUAGAUAUCAGGAGGAACACCGGUGGCGAAGGCGGCCUGCUGGACGGAUACUGACGCUGAGGCCCGAAAGCGUGGGGAGCGAACAGG